UGACAGCCCCGUACACAAAAAUGCACAUACUGUGAGCUCGAUGAGUAGGGCGGGACACGUGGUAUCCUGUCUGAAUAUGGGGGGACCAUCCUCCAAGGCUAAAUACUCCUGACUGACCGAUAGUGAACCAGUACCGUGAGGGAAAGGCGAAAAGAACCCCGGCGAGGGGAGUGAAAAAGAACCUGAAACCGUGUACGUACAAGCAGUGGGAGCACGCUUAGGCGUGUGACUGCGUACCUUUUGUAUAAUGGGUCAGCGACUUAUAUUCUGUAGCAAGGUUAACCGAAUAGGGGAGCCGAAGGGAAACCGAGUCUUAACUGGGCGUUAAGUUGCAGGGUAUAGACCCGAAACCCGGUGAUCUAGCCAUGGGCAGGUUGAAGGUUGGGUAACACUAACUGGAGGACCGAACCGACUAAUGUUGAAAAAUUAGCGGAUGACUUGUGGCUG
RNAcentral lists this ribosomal RNA (447 nucleotides) under Shigella flexneri. Its description in RNAcentral is "partial 23S ribosomal RNA". It matches the Rfam family "Bacterial large subunit ribosomal RNA", at positions 365 to 817 of the family's 2925-position model. Lineage: Bacteria; Pseudomonadati; Pseudomonadota; Gammaproteobacteria; Enterobacterales; Enterobacteriaceae. The record is from RNAcentral.